CGCGCAUCUCGCGUCUACCGCGUGCGGUCACCGCGCCGUUUCUCUACCUUUUUCGCAGGAAGGCGGAUCCCAAGCGUCCGGUCGCUGUCACCGGGGACGCCUCCGCAGUGCUGUCAUAGAACCAGAGAGAUGGUUCCUAAUGGAUUCAACCUGCUGUCGUUGGCUCUGAAAAUGGAGGAGGGGAAACGAGCCAAGGAAUGUGGGCAGCCUCUAGAAGCUGAGAAUGGCCCUCUGUUUAUAGCCAGCAAGAAGAUGGGGACCUCAGCCCCACCACUGCCAAGAAGUGAAUUCUGCCAACAGCCCGAAUGGGCAGGAAACGGAUUCUCCCCUAGAACCUCCAGAAGGAACACAAGCAGCCUGUCAACACCUUGGUUUUAGUCUAGUGAGACUCGUAUCAAACUCCCACCCUACAGAAUUAUAAUAAACUUGUGUUGUUUUAAGCCUCUAAGUUUGUGGCAAGUUUUACAGCAGUAAUAUAGAACUAAUAAAGUAGUGAGCCUUCCCA
Molecule: long non-coding RNA, 505 nt
Organism: Galeopterus variegatus (Sunda flying lemur)
Lineage: Eukaryota; Metazoa; Chordata; Mammalia; Dermoptera; Cynocephalidae
Exons: 2
Source: RefSeq, a predicted model, not a curated record